Molecule: non-coding RNA, 113 nt
Organism: Acanthosepion pharaonis
Lineage: Eukaryota; Metazoa; Mollusca; Cephalopoda; Sepiida; Sepiidae
Source: the annotation of a GenBank genome assembly
UACGCCCACAUCGCGAGGAAACACUAACUCCCAUACGAUCACCGGAGUUAAGCAACGUCGAACCUGGUCUAUACCUAGAUGGGUGACCUUUUGAGAAUACAAGGUGAUGUAAG